Molecule: transfer RNA, 75 nt
Filed under: Candidatus Pacearchaeota archaeon
Lineage: Archaea; Nanobdellati
Description: tRNA-Arg
Rfam family: tRNA
About the family: Transfer RNA (tRNA) molecules are approximately 80 nucleotides in length.
Source: RNAcentral
GCGUCCGUAGCUCAGCCUGGAUAGAGCAAUGGGGUCCUAACCCGGAGGUCGAAGGUUCAAAUCCUUCCGGGCGCG